GAUGAACGCUGGCGGCGUGCCUAAUACAUGCAAGUCGAGCGAACGGACGAGAAGCUUGCUUCUCUGAUGUUAGCGGCGGACGGGUGAGUAACACGUGGAUAACCUACCUAUAAGACUGGGAUAACUUCGGGAAACCGGAGCUAAUACCGGAUGAUAUUUUGAACCGCAUGGUUCAAAAGUGAAAGACGGUCUUGCUGCCACUUAUAGAUGGAUCCGCGCUGCAUUAGCUAGUUGGUAAGGUAACGGCUUACCAAGGCAACGAUGCAUAGCCGACCUGAGAGGGUGAUCGGCCACACUGGAACUGAGACACGGUCCAGACUCCUACGGGAGGCAGCAGUAGGGAAUCUUCCGCAAAGGGCGAAAGCCUGACGGAGCAACGCCGCGUGAGUGAUGAAGGUCUUCGGAUCGUAAAACUCUGUUAUUAGGGAAGAACAUAUGUGUAAGUAACUGUGCACAUCUUGACGGUACCUAAUCAGAAAGCCACGGCUAACUACGUG
This 497-nucleotide ribosomal RNA is filed under the name uncultured bacterium. RNAcentral's name for it is "partial 16S ribosomal RNA". It matches the Rfam family "Bacterial small subunit ribosomal RNA", at positions 28 to 507 of the family's 1533-position model. The record is from RNAcentral.